This 352-nucleotide ribosomal RNA is filed under the name uncultured eukaryote. RNAcentral's name for it is "partial 18S ribosomal RNA". It matches the Rfam family "Eukaryotic small subunit ribosomal RNA", at positions 1470 to 1796 of the family's 1831-position model. The record is from RNAcentral.
CCCUUAGAUGUCCUGGGCUGCACGCGCGCUACACUGAUAUGUGCAUCGAGCAGAUGUUCUUGGCUUACGCCGGAAUACACCUUCUCCGAGAGGAGCGGGCAAUCUUUUCAAAGCAUAUCGUGAUGGGGAUAGAUUAUUGUAAUUAUUAAUCUUCAACGAGGAAUUCCUAGUAAACGCAAGUCAUUAACUUGCAUUGAUUACGUCCCUGCCCUUUGUACACACCGCCCGUCGCUACUACCGACUGGAUGGCUUAGUGAGCUCCAUGGACCGCCGUCGUUCAGUGCUUGCGCUGUCGAUUGUUUGCGGGAAGUGGAUCGAACUUGAUCAUCUGGAGGAAGUAAAAGUCGUANCA